Long non-coding RNA from Scylla paramamosain (green mud crab), 1071 nucleotides. RefSeq lists it as uncharacterized. The transcript is spliced from 3 exons. NCBI's taxonomy places the organism in Eukaryota, Metazoa, Arthropoda, Malacostraca, Decapoda, Portunidae. The record is from RefSeq and is a predicted model, not a curated record.
CAGGCAAGCGGCUGCUGCAGCGUGGUGGAGAACAGCGUCAGGAACCACGACGACGCGUACCUGCAGACGACACAGGGGUGAGACAGUGGAGGUGUGAGGCGCAGCAGCAGCGUGAACCACACACAUUCUUCACUAAGCAUCCAAUCACCCAACCAACCAACCAACCAUCCAUCCAUCCAGUCACCCAACCAGACGCCCAACCAACCAUCCAUCCACUCACAUGGAGGUGUGGAAGCUCUGGGAGGUGAAGUGAGCAUGGAGGUCCGGGAGGUGUUCCUGGAUGAGGCACUCCAGCUGGUACAUGCACAGGCCCAGCUCAGCCAUGGAGGGUUUGAACAUCUCCCGCAUCCUGUAGUCCUGCAUCAGCUUCACCAGCACUGCAAAUGCUUCCUCCUCCGGCAUCUGGCAUGGGGAGGGGUUGAAUCACAUAAGAACAAAGAAAGUUGCAAGAAGCCAUCAGGCCUACAUGUGGCAGUCCCUGUGGAUUAGAAUGUUUUGAUCUCUGUGGCCAAAGACACCUCUACCUUGAAUUAAGAGCACUACUUUAUCACUUCCUCCUCUAGCAUCUGUUACAGUGAGGACUUGGGUCAGAAAACUUUGAUCUCCAUGGCCAGGAAGACACAUCUACUUUGAAUGAACCACCUCUCUAUUCCUGCAUAUUUCUCAGCUUCUAGAAUUUGGACUGACAAUAUACUAAAGAGGAGCAAUAAUCUACAGGCACUCAACCAUCACCCCCUUCACCCCCAUCUCCCGAGAGGAGUGCUGCCUUACCUGCAUGAGCAACAGGCCAACGAUGAAGGCCGAUCCCUGGCAGUAGCCCACCUCACGGUCGUGCAGAGAGUACGCCUUCAUCACGUUGAACAGACUCUCCUGCCCCAGCCCGUCCUUCUCCUUGAAAAACUCAUGCUCGGGGUAGGUCCGGGCCAUGUCCCUCCGGAUCACCUGACAAACAUAAAUUACAUGUCUGUCUGUUGCACGCUGUGAUGGGGCAUUAUACAUUGCUGGCACAUGUUCACUGGAAGCUCCUUUGCCUAAGCCUUUGAGAAAAUAAAUAAAAUAGACACAAAUGAA